GCUGGCGUAGCUCAGGCGGUAGAGCAGCUGAUUUGUAAUCAGCGGGUCGGGGGUUCAAGUCCCUCCGCCAGCUCCA
This 76-nucleotide transfer RNA is filed under the name Planctomycetota bacterium. Its description in RNAcentral is "tRNA-Thr". It matches the Rfam family "tRNA". Rfam says of the family: Transfer RNA (tRNA) molecules are approximately 80 nucleotides in length. Their secondary structure includes four short double-helical elements and three loops (D, anti-codon, and T loops). Lineage: Bacteria; Pseudomonadati; Planctomycetota. The record is from RNAcentral.